RNAcentral lists this ribosomal RNA (468 nucleotides) under uncultured bacterium. Its description in RNAcentral is "partial 16S ribosomal RNA". It matches the Rfam family "Bacterial small subunit ribosomal RNA", at positions 28 to 507 of the family's 1533-position model. The record is from RNAcentral.
GACGAACGCUGGCGGCGUGCUUAACACAUGCAAGUCGAACGGAAAGGCCCUGCUUCUGUGGGGUGCUCGAGUGGCGAACGGGUGAGUCACACGUGAGUAACCUGCCCUUGACUCUGGGAUCACUUCAGGAAACUGGGGCUAAUACCGGAUAUGAGCUCCUGCUGCAUGGUGGGGGUUGGAAAGUUUCGGCGGUUGGGGAUGGACUCGCGGCUUAUCAGCUUGUUGGUGGGGUAGUGGCUUACCAAGGCUUUGACGGGUAGCCGGCCUGAGAGGGUGACCGGCGACAUGGGGACUGAGAUACGGCCCAGACUCCGACGGGAGGCAGCAGUGGGGAAUAGUGCACAAAGGGCGGAAGCCUGAUGCAGCAACGCCGCGUGCGGGAUGGCGGCCUUCUGGUUGUAAACCGCUUUCGCCUGUGACGAAGCGUGAGUGACGGUAGUGGGUGAAGAAGCACCGGCUAACUACGUG